This 301-nucleotide ribosomal RNA is filed under the name uncultured bacterium. Its description in RNAcentral is "partial 16S ribosomal RNA". It matches the Rfam family "Bacterial small subunit ribosomal RNA", at positions 509 to 807 of the family's 1533-position model. The record is from RNAcentral.
CAGCCGCCGCGGGAAAACGUAGGGUGCGAGCGUUGAUCGGAAUUACUGGGCGUAAAGCGUGCGCAGGCGGUUCGUUAAGACAGAUGUGAAAUCCCCGGGCUUAACCUGGGAACUGCAUUUGUGACUGGCGAGCUAGGGUAUGGCAGAGGGGGGUAGAAUUCCACGUGUAGCAGUGAAAUGCGUAGAGAUGUGGAGGAAUACCGAUGGCGAAGGCAGCCCCCUGGGCCAAUACUGACGCUCAUGCACGAAAGCGUGGGGAGCAAACAGGAUUAGAUACCCCCGUAGUCCCUGUCUCUUAUAC